Molecule: microRNA precursor, 73 nt
Filed under: Myotis lucifugus (little brown bat)
Lineage: Eukaryota; Metazoa; Chordata; Mammalia; Chiroptera; Vespertilionidae
Description: mir-9193 microRNA precursor family
Rfam family: mir-9193 microRNA precursor family
Source: Rfam by way of RNAcentral
ACUAGGAUGGGGGGUCCCUCAGCCCAGAUUGUGAGAGGGCGCAAGCCAGGCCAAGGGACCCCACCGGUGCAUG